GACGAACGCUGGCGGCGUGCCUAAUACAUGCAAGUAGAACGCUGAAGGAGGAGCUUGCUUCUCUGGAUGAGUUGCGAACGGGUGAGUAACGCGUAGGUAACCUGCCUGGUAGCGGGGGAUAACUAUUGGAAACGAUAGCUAAUACCGCAUAACAGUAGAUAUCGCAUGAUAUCUACUUGAAAGGUGCAAUUGCAUCACUACCAGAUGGACCUGCGUUGUAUUAGCUAGUUGGUGAGGUAACGGCUCACCAAGGCGACGAUACAUAGCCGACCUGAGAGGGUGAUCGGCCACACUGGGACUGAGACACGGCCCAGACUCCUACGGGAGGCAGCAGUAGGGAAUCUUCGGCAAUGGACGGAAGUCUGACCGAGCAACGCCGCGUGAGUGAAGAAGGGUUUCGGAUCGUAAAGCUCGGUUGUAAGAGAAGAACGAGUGUGAGAGUGGAAAGUUCACACUGUGACGGUAUCUUACCAGAAAGGGACGGCUAACUACGUG
RNAcentral lists this ribosomal RNA (495 nucleotides) under uncultured bacterium. RNAcentral describes it as "partial 16S ribosomal RNA". It matches the Rfam family "Bacterial small subunit ribosomal RNA", at positions 28 to 507 of the family's 1533-position model. The record is from RNAcentral.